CUACGGGUUGCAGCAGUGGGGAAUAUUGCACAAUGGGCGCAAGCCUGAUGCAGCCAUGCCGCGUGUAUGAAGAAGGCCUUCGGGUUGUAAAGUACUUUCAGCGGGGAGGAAGGGAGUAAAGUUAAUACCUUUGCUCAUUGACGUUACCCGCAGAAGAAGCACCGGCUAAGUCCGUGCCAGCAGCCGCGGUAAUACGGAGGGUGCAAGCGUUAAUCGGAAUUACUGGGCGUAAAGCGCACGCAGGCGGUUUGUUAAGUCAGAUGUGAAAUCCCCGGGCUCAACCUGGGAACUGCAUCUGAUACUGGCAAGCUUGAGUCUCGUAGAGGGGGGUAGAAUUCCAGGUGUAGCGGUGAAAUGCGUAGAGAUCUGGAGGAAUACCGGUGGCGAAGACGGCCCCCUGGACGAAGACUGACGCUCAGGUGCGAAAGCGUGGGGAGCAAACAGGAUUAGAUACCCUUGUAGUC
Molecule: ribosomal RNA, 464 nt
Filed under: uncultured bacterium
Lineage: Bacteria
Description: partial 16S ribosomal RNA
Rfam family: Bacterial small subunit ribosomal RNA
Source: RNAcentral